GGGGUUUUAGGCUGGGUUUCUGUACAGCACUUUGAGAUAUCAGCUGAUGUACGAAGGGCUAUAUAAAAAUAAAUUUGAUUUGAUUUGAUCCAUAAAGUUCCCCGCGGCGCCGGAAUCCACUAAAGCUGUAGACAGGGCAUGAGGGACAGUCAGCCAGAGUGAUGGGUACGACAAAGAGUCUAACAGGAAGAGCAGUAGAUGGAAUACUCACUCCUUGUCCAGGGGAUGUAACAUCACGUACCGUCUCUCAUCUCUAGUGGAUCCCGGAUUCUGAAGUAACGGACACCGCUAGCUUUUUUGCCCUCCCUGGCCAUAGUACAGACAGAGCCCCAGCUGUAUCCAUCUGCGUCGUUCCGCCGUGGGGAGGUGUGUGACCCGUACCUCCAUGGGUUCAGGCUCUGAUCCCGAACACUUGCCGAAGGAGGGAGAGAAGCGAUGAAGAUGCCGAAUCUCCCGGAGGAGGAUAUUCAGAUGGAUGGCCAUCGCAAUGAGUGCGUCCAGGGCCUCCUCACGCAGAGGACCUCCACACGCAGACCUCUUCUAAAUAACAUGCUGAGCGCCGGCUUAUUCCAUCCACUGGAAGCUGCUACUGUCAGGAAGUCCAACAGCUUUCCCAAUGCCUCCUGCACCUUCUGGACCACAAACGGAAUAUUCCUUCCUCUUUUCCAGAGCACCCCAUCAGCAAACAGGGAGAGGCCAAAACCAGGCCCGACAUCCUGGAACAUGUUAUUCAUCAUUAUAUUAAACAAAAUUGGAC
RNAcentral lists this long non-coding RNA (757 nucleotides) under Salmo salar (Atlantic salmon). Its description in RNAcentral is "lncRNA (ENSSSAG00000120475.1)". Lineage: Eukaryota; Metazoa; Chordata; Actinopteri; Salmoniformes; Salmonidae. The record is from RNAcentral.